This 253-nucleotide ribosomal RNA is filed under the name uncultured bacterium. RNAcentral's name for it is "partial 16S ribosomal RNA". It matches the Rfam family "Bacterial small subunit ribosomal RNA", at positions 524 to 776 of the family's 1533-position model. The record is from RNAcentral.
UACAGAGGGUACAAGCGUUGUCCGGAUUUAUUGGGCGUAAAGAGCGUGUAGGCGGCCAGAUAGGUCGGUUGUGAAAACUGGAGGCUUAACCUUCAGACGUCGACCGAAACCAUCUGGCUAGAGUCCGGAAGAGGAGAAUGGAAUUCCUGGUGUAGCGGUGAAAUGCGCAGAUAUCAGGAAGAACACCCGUGGCUAAGGCGGUUCUCUAGUACGGUACUGACGCUGAGACGCGAAAGCGUGGGGAGCGAACAGG